AUUUUUUCAUUUAGUUAGAAACACUUUCUAAUUUACCUUUGGUGUUUUCUCUGAACCAUGGGUUAUUUAGAAUUCUGUGAUUUAGUUUCCAAAUAAUUUGGAAUUUUCCAGGAUUUAACACUGCAUCAAAGACCCCAAGAAAUGCUAUUAAAAUGCAACUAAGUUGGUUCUUAGAAGUUUGGAGAAAGCAAUGGCACACAUUUAAUGAAGCAGAAAUGCUAGAUUUGCUAUAGCAGACAAUGGAAGAAGAAACCAAGAGACUCGGAGAACAUGCUGGAGGGAUGUAUUAGAUAUGGACUCUCACUAUGUUGCCCAGGCUGGUCUCAAGCUCCUGGGCUCAAGCAAUCCUUCCACCUUGGCCUCCCAAAAUGCUGAGAUUACUGGAAUGAGCCACUGUGCCUGGCCUAUGUGAGACUUUAUCAGAGGGAGGCCAACAAG
This is a long non-coding RNA of Gorilla gorilla gorilla (western lowland gorilla), 438 nucleotides long. RefSeq lists it as uncharacterized. NCBI's taxonomy places the organism in Eukaryota, Metazoa, Chordata, Mammalia, Primates, Hominidae. The record is from RefSeq and is a predicted model, not a curated record. The transcript has 3 exons.